This 1104-nucleotide long non-coding RNA is filed under the name Nicotiana tabacum (common tobacco). Its description in RNAcentral is "long non-coding RNA (NTAB_LNC010239)". Lineage: Eukaryota; Viridiplantae; Streptophyta; Magnoliopsida; Solanales; Solanaceae. The record is from RNAcentral.
CCAAACCUAAUAUAAGACUCAAAAAUUAACAGUUCCACUUGUGUGUUGUCAGGUGGUACCAUUUUAUCUUGUAUUGUAUUAUCAAGAUGCAAAAUUUAAAAUGGUCUUUGGAUUGAUGCCUAAGAAUUGCUUGAUUUUGAUCUGGUUGUUCCCUAAGACCCUUUUAGCAUCCGUAGUCUCAGUUUUGGAUAAAAUCUAUUACCUCUAUUUCUUUGUCUGAAAGAAACUAUCUGAAUUACUUUUGGUUCUACUGAAUUUUACCAGGAAAAUUAACGAUUUCCAAAGAGAAAUAGCAUUACAUAUUCCAUGAAUAUUUCUAAUAGCUAGUCAAUUUCCCAAAUCAAUUCCAUACGCAUAUUAUUGUAUGAAAAUCUAAACGCCUAUGGAUAAUUGCAAAAGCUCUCUACGCACAUCACUAAAAUCCACCUUAAUAUCAUGCAUACUCCUAAAUACACCAAAAAGCAGCUGUUCCCUAAACUGUUACUACAACAUUAACACAACAAUUCUAUUAUAUUUCUGUUUCCCAUUUGCGCCCCUAUUUGUAUUAUCAAGAUGCAAAAUUUUUACACGUUGGAUGGUUCAGCUACAUGUGGAGAGAUCAAUCAUUGGAAUCAUCUGAAGGGUUCAACUGGUGCAGAUUCUUGGAGAAGUGCAGCAGCCUCAAAGCAUUCAGCGGCUUCGAGUGCAGAUGCACCAUUUUCACUUUUGUAUAACAAGCCAAGAUUGUACCAAGCUGAAGAAUUUGUUCUGUCAAGCCGUAAUGCAUCGGUCAGAAAGCUUUUCACGACAGGCAAUGUUUGGCCGCUGAGUUGUCGAAGAACAAUGGCAGUGGAAACCAAACUAGGAACAUGGUUUGGUUCUAUGUCUAAAGCCUUCUGAAAAGAUUGUAAUGCCUCUUUGUGGAGUCCUCUAGCUUGAUAGAGUAACCCUGCAAAAUGACCACCAUUUAUGAUGUCUUCAGAAGUUGGCUUUGUAAGACCUCAUCUCAAAGAUGAUUAAACAGAAAACAUGAAAGAAAACCUUGUGCCCUACUUAACGUCUAGAUUAGCCAACAUUUACAGACUUGUCUAUGUAACAUCAUGCAACAACUUUAGAUUAAUCGAC